Cryptomeria japonica (Japanese cedar) is the source of this 1013-nucleotide long non-coding RNA. RefSeq lists it as uncharacterized. The record is from RefSeq and is a predicted model, not a curated record. NCBI's taxonomy places the organism in Eukaryota, Viridiplantae, Streptophyta, Pinopsida, Cupressales, Cupressaceae. The transcript has 2 exons.
UAUAUUACUUGGAUAUAUUUUUAAUCUACUAGCAUAAAAGUUUCUUAUAGGUUAUUUGGAGAGAUUAUUAUAUGGGCGCUCUGCAACUCUGUUCGGAUAUUAGGUUUUGGACGCGCGUGGAGGGGUUCUCGGCCUUCUGACAUGGAGGAGGGCGUACAACCUCCUUCACGCAAGUAAGCUACUUUGGCUUCUUGUCGUAUCUUCUCAUUUAUUUCUCUCAUUUUUGCUUCUUCCCUCUUGCCUGUGUUGGAUGUCUAUGCGGUUAUCCAGACUUAGGCGCAUUUAUGUCAAGAGAGCCAGAUGAGAUCCCUUCCACCGAAGGCAUGGACAAGAACAAAUCAUUCAAAAUCGCUUUGCUUGCUUCCAACUCUUCACCGAUUUCAGUCUCUGCUAAAUUUGAAACUAGGGCUUUGAAGGCUCACACAGGUAUUGAUGCCCGAUCGAGUGCGGAGGAGGUCACGCUAGUUAUGAAAAUGAUUGUGGAGAAAUUUGAGAGAUUUAUUGAAGAAGGAUCAAUGUAAUUAUACCUCUCAGAGUUGUCAUAUGGCUACACAUGGACCAAAUUCAACAAUGAACAAUCCCCUUUUGUGAGUGCACUUAAAGCCUUCAUGAAGGAUAUCAAUGAAGGAAGAUGAAGGGAGCAGUAGUAGUUGACCUAAGUGGGUGCGCUAGUUGUGAUUCAUGAUACCAGAACAACUAUUUGGAUGGAAGGCCCGAUGGGUUCGACCUCAUGGCCAGAGACUUAGGAAUACCUUUAUGCGAGUCCUCACAAUUUUGUUCCUUUUUGUACAUCUUUAGCAGCUUGUUUUUUGAUACAACAAGUCUAGCAUACUAAUUAUCUUGCAUAUUCUCUAUUGUACACUGACUAUAGACAUAAUAUGUAUCCUUAGUUAGGAUAGAUGGUUGAAUUAGAUACAUGAUCACAAUUGCAUACAACAAAUAAACUCUUAUUGAUAUAUUGUUAACUGUUCAGUUUCUCUAUAUUUAAUACAAAAAAAAAUCUACUAGCAGAA